This 429-nucleotide ribosomal RNA is filed under the name Pseudomonadota bacterium. Its description in RNAcentral is "Proteobacteria bacterium partial 16S ribosomal RNA". It matches the Rfam family "Bacterial small subunit ribosomal RNA", at positions 355 to 776 of the family's 1533-position model. The record is from RNAcentral. Lineage: Bacteria; Pseudomonadati; Pseudomonadota.
UGGGGAAUAUUGGACAAUGGGCGAAAGCCUGAUCCAGCCAUGCCGCGUGUGUGAAGAAGGUCUUCGGAUUGUAAAGCACUUUAAGUGGGGAGGAAGGGCAGUAAGCGAAUACCUUGCUGUUUUGACGUUACCGACAGAAUAAGCACCGGCUAACUCUGUGCCAGCAGCCGCGGUAAUACAGAGGGUGCAAGCGUUAAUCGGAAUUACUGGGCGUAAAGCGCGCGUAGGUGGUUCGUUAAGUUGAAUGUGAAAGCCCCGGGCUCAACCUGGGAACUGCAUCCAAAACUGGCGAGCUAGAGUAGGGCAGAGGGUGGUGGAAUUUCCUGUGUAGCGGUGAAAUGCGUAGAUAUAGGAAGGAACACAAGUGGCGAAGGCGACCACCUGGGCUCAUACUGACACUGAGGUGCGAAAGCGUGGGGAGCAAACAGG